Molecule: long non-coding RNA, 1877 nt
Organism: Bos taurus (domestic cattle)
Lineage: Eukaryota; Metazoa; Chordata; Mammalia; Artiodactyla; Bovidae
Source: Ensembl
GGAAAGGGGCUGGGGGUGGGGGUUGGAAACAGGACUGACAAAUGUCAAGCACAUGUUCCCGCGGAAAUAGGAUGUAGUUGUGGUGAGCAGGGCUUGGCAGUGGGGGGCCUGCAUCUGACCAGAAUCUUAAGAGCUUUCCUGGUGGAGAGGCUCUGGCAACGAAGAGGGGUGAGCUCUCACCAUUAGGGGUGUGGGGCAUCAGGGAUCAUGGAAUGCCUGCCUGGUGGAGUCUGGCCGGGCGUCUCCAGAGACUCAGGUUUUCCCUGGCGUGGACCAGGACAAUUUGCCACCACCCGGCAGGCAGCCUCUAGCAGGGCUAACUCUGUAAGAAGGAAGGGGCCCAUUCUCAGCCCAUGCUUGGGUGCAUGCUAAGUCGCCUCAGUUGUGUCUGAUUCUUUGUGACCCCAGGGACUAUAGCCUGCCAGGCUCCUCUGUCCAUGGGAUUCUCUCGGCAAGAAUACUAGAGUAGGUUGCCAUGCCCUCCUCCAGGGGAUCUUCCCAACCCAGGGGUCAAAUCCAUGUCUUUCAUGUCUCCUACAUUGGCAGGCAGGUUCUUUACCACUAGCGCUGCCUGGGAAGCCCCAUUCUCAGUCCAGGUCAGUCCCAAAAGCAGAGCCCCCCACCCCCACCAGCAGGACCUCAGACAGGACACUGUGUCCUCUCCUCUCUGCCCUCACCCUGGUGUUCACUGUCGCCUCCGCUGCACAGGCCUCGUGCAGCUCAGAGGGAUGAAGCAAAAACCUCACAAGGGCCCAGAGAACACCAACCCACACACUCCUUCCUGCCUCUUCACAUCCUAAAGGGCUGUUUUCCAUCUCUCUCUGGUUGUCCCAAAGUCACACUAGUUACUCCAGCAGAGGGUGGAGGGACAGCUCUGGGCCAGGAAGCAGGUGACUUGCAGUCAAUUUCCAGCUUUCUGUGACCCUGGGCCACAGUCUCUUCUGUCUGAGCCUUGAGUUAUUUCCCUGCACAGAGUGGCCAAGGACAAGGAUAUUUAAAUGCUUUUGGUUCUUUACAGUAAUGGACUCUUCAGUAUUUUGGCGAAAAAUCUGAGCUGGAAUAUCGAUGUAUAAAGCACAUAAAAGCAAAACUGCUCUAGUUGGAGUGGGGGAGGGUCUGGGGUCCCAUCCACUCAGCCUCCCACAAACCCAAGACCGAAAACCACGGGACCACGGGACCUCUAAGAGAAUUGUUGCCCUCGAGUUCCACUGGGGCUCCUAAGCAGGUUAGGACUGGGAGGUAUAAAGGCAGCAUUAUUGACUGGAAAGGUGUUGACAACUAGUUCAACUGCAGAGAUGGGGGAGGCUAGGCUCGUUGUACUUUGAUUACAAAACAGAAGUAGCUUUCUGCGAUGGUCCCAGCUCCAGCUAAUGGAGCAUUAGAACAACCCGCCUUCCUCCUGAAGCUAGGCACAGAAGGAGACGAGUCCCCAGGCUUUCCUCCGGAGGGGCUGGGGACACACUGCCUGGAGUCAGGAGAUCAGUCUAAUGGCCUCCCAGGGGCCGGCGCCUUCUGUGGACAUAGCAGACGUGGCUCGAGUGCUCAGUCCAGCCUUGCCCUCUCCAGGGGGACUGACUUUGAGACACCCGACCAGGCCCUGCCUCCAGCCUCUGCUCCGGAAACCCCCUCAUUCUGCCGUGUCUGCUUAAUCCCUGUUCACAGCAGGCUGACCUCCCGCCUCCGUGGCCUCACACUGCGCCUGCCCCAGAGUCUCUCAGGCCGCCUUCGAAAAAUAAAUAAAUACUUUCUCCAUUAUCCCAUUAACAGCUUCACAGGUUUUUCUGCUAUUAGUUCCCAACUCCAGUGAAAGUGGAAACACGUGUCCUGAAGAGCCUCGCUUGCCCACUAGCCGCUAUGGGGCUGGUGCUAAGCUCCAG